CCGGCACGGGUGAGUAACACGUAUCCAACCUGCCGUCUACUCUUGGACAGCCUUCUGAAGGAAGAUUAAUACAAGAUGGCAUCAUGAGUCCGCAUGUUCACAUGAUUAAAGGUAUUCCGGUAGACGAUGGGGAUGCGUUCCAUUAGAUAGUGGCGGGGUAACGGCCCACCUAGUCUUCGAUGGAUAGGGGUUCUGAGAGGAAGGUCCCCCACAUUGGGACUGAGACACGGCCCAA
This 235-nucleotide ribosomal RNA is filed under the name uncultured bacterium. Its description in RNAcentral is "partial 16S ribosomal RNA". It matches the Rfam family "Bacterial small subunit ribosomal RNA", at positions 100 to 334 of the family's 1533-position model. The record is from RNAcentral.